AAGAAUAAAUAGCUACUUGUACCCGUGUGGCCCGUUCACGGUACGGAGUAUACAAUAUGUCCGAGCGUGGGAUCUCACUUUUUUUUUUACAGCAUAUAAAAACCUGUGGAAAAAACUCUUUUGAUUAAUAUUGCCGUUAUUUGGGAUAUCAUCUAUCCCUCGAACACACGUAUACGUCUUUGCCUUUUGACUUCCAAUCACGUCUGAAUAAUGUUUU
This is a non-coding RNA of Cinara cedri, 217 nucleotides long. Lineage: Eukaryota; Metazoa; Arthropoda; Insecta; Hemiptera; Aphididae. The record is from the annotation of a GenBank genome assembly.